This 84-nucleotide transfer RNA is filed under the name Bacteroidota bacterium. RNAcentral's name for it is "Bacteroidetes bacterium tRNA-Leu". It matches the Rfam family "tRNA". Rfam says of the family: Transfer RNA (tRNA) molecules are approximately 80 nucleotides in length. Their secondary structure includes four short double-helical elements and three loops (D, anti-codon, and T loops). RNAcentral also lists the same sequence under 2 other names. Lineage: Bacteria; Pseudomonadati; Bacteroidota. The record is from RNAcentral.
GCCCGGGUGGUGGAAUGGUAGACACGCAGGACUUAAAAUCCUGUGACCGUUGAGGUCGUAUGGGUUCGAGUCCCAUUCCGGGCA